RNAcentral lists this unclassified non-coding RNA (323 nucleotides) under uncultured Hypocreales. RNAcentral's name for it is "sequence contains ITS1". The stretch from base 1 to 105 matches the Rfam family "5.8S ribosomal RNA", at positions 50 to 154 of the family's 154-position model. Lineage: Eukaryota; Fungi; Ascomycota; Sordariomycetes; Hypocreales. The record is from RNAcentral. RNAcentral also lists the same sequence under 1 other name.
GAAAUGCGAUAAGUAAUGCGAAUUGCAGAAUUCAGUGAAUCAUCGAAUCUUUGAACGCACAUUGCGCCCGCUAGUAUUCUGGCGGGCAUGCCUGUCUGAGCGUCAUUUCAACCCUCGUCCCCCCGGCACUUGCGGCCGGCGGGGGCGGUGUUGGGGAUCGGCACCCUUCUGUGUGCCGGCCCCGAAAUACAGUGGCGACCACGCCGUAGCCUCCUCUGCGUAGUAGUAAAAAACUCGCGGGCGGAGAGCGGUGCGGUCCGCCGUGAAACACCCAACUUUACAAGGUUGACCUCAGAUCAGGUAGGAAUACCCGCUGAACUUAA